UAGUGGGGGUUAUUAGAAUAAUGAUACUUAAAGAAGUGAUUUUUUGGAAGGAAAUUGAGGUAUGAUACUUAAACAAGUGAUUUUUAUGUCAUUAUCCUAGAUUCAGUACAAGGUCAUCACCUGACAUGACCUGGUCAUCCUAGACAACACAGAUGUUGGCCCUGAUAAUUUUAGCAACAUAAUUAGUCCCUGGAUCAUUAGUAUUCUAUAUUUAAAACUACAAUAAAAUUAAAUCACUUAGUCUAGUGAUAAAAUUUGUACUACUUAAAUAGGUGAUUAUUAAAGAGAG
This 289-nucleotide long non-coding RNA is filed under the name Mytilus galloprovincialis (Mediterranean mussel). Lineage: Eukaryota; Metazoa; Mollusca; Bivalvia; Mytilida; Mytilidae. The record is from RNAcentral.